GAGGUAGAGGAGCAGGCCGCAUCAGUAAUCAACUGGAGGAUGACAACGGAGAUGGUUGGUGAAAGGGUUGUCUGCCGAAGCAUGAAGUAAUGUCAGAUACGGAAAUGCUGGUGUUUUUCCUAAUAGGAAUUACACUGUCAUGCAUACUAAAAAGGAUGCAUGGUGCGCUACUGA
This 174-nucleotide non-coding RNA is filed under the name Thalassobacillus devorans. RNAcentral describes it as "Lysine riboswitch". It matches the Rfam family "Lysine riboswitch aptamer". From Rfam's summary of the family: Riboswitches are metabolite binding domains within certain messenger RNAs that serve as precision sensors for their corresponding targets. The record is from RNAcentral. Lineage: Bacteria; Bacillati; Bacillota; Bacilli; Caryophanales; Bacillaceae.